Molecule: non-coding RNA, 29 nt
Filed under: Rattus norvegicus (Norway rat)
Lineage: Eukaryota; Metazoa; Chordata; Mammalia; Rodentia; Muridae
Source: RNAcentral
UUUAAGGCCUACUAUUUUCUCCUACGUGA